Molecule: ribosomal RNA, 253 nt
Filed under: uncultured bacterium
Lineage: Bacteria
Description: partial 16S ribosomal RNA
Rfam family: Bacterial small subunit ribosomal RNA
Source: RNAcentral
UACGGGGGGGGCAAGCGUUAUCCGGAUUCACUGGGUUUAAAGGGUGCGUAGGUGGGCAGGUAAGUCAGUGGUGAAAUCUCCGGGCUUAACCCGGAAACUGCCAUUGAUACUAUCUGUCUUGAAUACCCUGGAGGUGAGCGGAAUAUGUCAUGUAGCGGUGAAAUGCUUAGAUAUGACAUAGAACACCCAUUGCGAAGGCAGCUCACUACGGGAAUAUUGACACUGAGGCACGAAAGCGUGGGGAUCAAACAGG